UGACCUGUGAGAAACUUGGGUUGGGGG
RNAcentral lists this non-coding RNA (27 nucleotides) under Rattus norvegicus (Norway rat). Lineage: Eukaryota; Metazoa; Chordata; Mammalia; Rodentia; Muridae. The record is from RNAcentral.